Molecule: transfer-messenger RNA, 375 nt
Filed under: Sutterella wadsworthensis
Lineage: Bacteria; Pseudomonadati; Pseudomonadota; Betaproteobacteria; Burkholderiales; Sutterellaceae
Also listed under: 3 other names
Rfam family: transfer-messenger RNA
About the family: Bacterial tmRNA, also known as 10Sa RNA or SsrA, is named for its dual tRNA and mRNA-like properties. Its role is to liberate the mRNA from a stalled ribosome.
Source: RNAcentral
GGGGGCGCCUUGGUUUCGACGGGGACGCGGACGCUGUGUGUUGCAUGCCGAGGUCGCAGGAUCCUCGUAAAUCACUUGCAAAAAAUACAAACGCCAACAACAAGCGUUUCGCUCUCGCUGCUUAAUAUAGCGAGAUGCCGCUCCUAGACUAACUCAUCUAGGGGUCUGUUAAUUCAGGCCAGCGGUAUCAUCCUCGAGUUCAAGCCCCGUAGGUCUCUCUAUCUCCUCGGGUCGCUGGAGACACGAUAGAUAAGCCCCUACAGGCCCUCUUGCUGGGAAUUGUGGAGGUCGAAAAUCCAGAAAGCAAGCAAGCAUGUGGAUGAUUCACCAGAAAAAGGUUUCCGGACGCGGGUUCAACUCCCGCCGCCUCCACCA